UCUCCGUUGGUGAACCAGCGGAGGGAUCAUUACCGAAGUUACCCUUCAAAACCCAUUGUGAACCAUGCCUCUUGCCGCGUUGUCUCGGCGGGAGGCGCUGGGGCCUCGGCUCCGCGUCCCCGCCGGCAGCGCCAAACUCUAAACUGCAAAGCGUACUGCAUGUUCUGAUUUACAAAAAAAACAAGUUAAAACUUUCAACAACGGAUCUCUUGGCUCUG
This 218-nucleotide unclassified non-coding RNA is filed under the name plant metagenome. Its description in RNAcentral is "partial contains small subunit ribosomal RNA, internal transcribed spacer 1, and 5.8S ribosomal RNA". The record is from RNAcentral.